Mesocricetus auratus (golden hamster) is the source of this 646-nucleotide long non-coding RNA. RefSeq lists it as uncharacterized. NCBI's taxonomy places the organism in Eukaryota, Metazoa, Chordata, Mammalia, Rodentia, Cricetidae. The record is from RefSeq and is a predicted model, not a curated record. The transcript has 3 exons.
UGCAGGGGAGUCAUCUAGAUACUUAGGAAUCUGAGCAUUUUAGACCUUUUGGCGCACUCUCUGAUUACCUUAGCCUUGUUUCUAUGUGUUCUUGGUAGAGCAAACUUCACUCUUUAGGCUCUGUUUUGUGUUCUGCUUUCAAUCUCUGGGAAGAGAUUCAAUGUAUCUUUAUAUCUGAAUAUAUCUUUAAGGGUGUAGAAAAAAAACACACAAGAAAGCUCUUGGGAGAAUAGGAAGGUGUAAUUUGAGGAAUAUUCUUCCUAAGGAAGAAGGAACACAUUUUCAGAAGUUGUGUGUUAAAGUGGGCUGUGGUAAGAUGUGGUGUGUUGAGUCUUCAGAUGUAUAUGUCUACUUUAACCCACAGGAAUUUUUGAUGAGGCAUUUGGAUAUGGAGACAUGGCAGUGAGGAAGUCACUUUCCUGGUCUUCUGGCUACAUGCAAAUUGAACCUUACACAAGAGGGUUCAUCAUCUCUUCGACUAUAGGUCAUUGGCUCAGUUUACAGUAGCAGAGAUGAAGUCUCUCCUAGUGAAUGGGCUUUAAGCUCAAGUAGACAACUGUUGGUUACCCCCAAGAAAAUGGCUUUCUAUUUGAUCUUCAUGUUGACAAUCCCAUUUGAUGUCUACAGUGGGAUCUUCUCAAGUGAG